RNAcentral lists this ribosomal RNA (253 nucleotides) under uncultured bacterium. RNAcentral's name for it is "partial 16S ribosomal RNA". It matches the Rfam family "Bacterial small subunit ribosomal RNA", at positions 524 to 776 of the family's 1533-position model. The record is from RNAcentral.
UACAGAGGUCUCAAGCGUUGUUCGGAUUCAUUGGGCGUAAAGGGGGCGUAGGCGGCGCGGUAAGUCGGGUGUGAAAUCUCGGGGCUUAACUCCGAAACUGCAUUCGAUACUGCCGUGCUUGAGGACUGGAGAGGAGACUGGAAUUUACGGUGUAGCGGUGAAAUGCGCAGAUAUCGGGAAGAACACCCGUGGCGAAGGCGGUUCUCUGGGACGGUACUGACGCUGAGACGCGAAAGCGUGGGGAGCGAACAGG